Lycium barbarum (goji berry) is the source of this 1803-nucleotide RNA transcript. It is a transcript of the gene named transmembrane E3 ubiquitin-protein ligase FLY1-like, with no coding region annotated. The transcript has 5 exons. Lineage: Eukaryota; Viridiplantae; Streptophyta; Magnoliopsida; Solanales; Solanaceae. The record is from RefSeq and is a predicted model, not a curated record.
AUAAGAAGCUAAGGCAGAGAGAGAAGUUUUGAUAUUUUUUGUAAGAAUUAAAGAAAUAGGUCAAUUUUAAUAGCAUUACAGCUCCCAUUAACAAACAGUGUAAUUUUUAUUUUAAUGGCAAUAAAGCAAUUGCUACUAAUUUGCUUGAACAUUUGGCGGUAAUAAUAUUCCCUCUAAAUGUCAUACCAAAUAAGGGUUUGAGCGACCUCAAUAGAGGAACUCCUCGCCAUCGCUAUCUCCGGCGAACUCGUUGAAUUUCUCCGGUGAAAAUGACUGGUAAGUUCCUCUAUUUAUGUUUCCUGAUUCAAUUGUUAGGGUCCCAAAAUCAGUAAUAAUCUAGCGCCUUACUUCUGAGAGCAAAAUCGUGGAACAAAAUUGGUGAAUGAAAUCGACAGUAACUAUGAUCCAAGUUUUUUUUUUGAUUGAUUUGAGAUAACAGAAAAAGAAAAUAAAGCUUGUGCCUAACCUGUUUGAGAAAAUGCCACACAGACUACUUUUUACAUUAGAGAAUACCUUUACAUACUUCUCAAGAAAUAAAUUACUCCUACAAUAUUAGUUAUGGAAGCUUCAGUGUAUCAAGCACAUAUUGCUAUUUCUUUUGGCCUGAAAUGAGUAGUUUAUGUAAGGCCUGAUGUGGCCUGAAACAUCAAGGAAUCUGCCAAAAGAACUGGUGAAUGGUGAGCAUGCGAAACAAAAGCUGGUUAUAUUUCAGUGUAGCAUGAGUAGUCUGAUCCUUAUUCUAUGUGUCAGCUAGGUUUCAGCUACUGGUCUAUCGUUUAUUUGCUUUUGAAAUUUAUGUCCGUUGUGAGAACUAGUUCUUUUAGUUGCUAUAUAGAGUCUUGCCUUGCUGUGCUAUCACUCGCUUCUUGCUUUAAGCUGCAUAUACGUCAACAUUUUCAGCAUUAUCCUGUAUUCAAAUAUACAUUUUGAAACAGAGUUUUAAUUGCAUUUCUUUGGGAGACAUCACAAAAGAGGAUACGUUGUUAUGAUUUUAGAUGCAAUUUAUAUGUCAUCUCAUUUUAAGCUUAAUUAAGAAGAGACCGAUAACGGUGCUGAUAGUGGUGCCGAUGAUGAUGCAGAUGCAGAUGAAGAUGAAGACCCUGGAGAAAUUGAGCAAGUGAUUUGUCUUCUUCCUCAGAUGGAGCGCAUGAUCAUUAUCGCCUAGAAGGAUUGAUGGAGAGCCCUUCAGUGGAUGCCGGCGGAGACUGUUUCUCACCAAUGCUAUUGAAUGCUACUUCUGUCAAUAUAGAGGUUUACUACAACAAAGCGGUGAACUACACAUUGAUGGUAACAUUUAUUGCUUUCCUGCAAGUGCUCCUUCUGAUUCGACAAAUGGAACAUAGCAACACCCAUCAGGAUACAGGUUGGCAAGUUUGAUCAGCAUAUGUUGUCUUGGUAAUCCCAGCUAGUACAAAUACAUUUGCAGACUUCUCUGUUAGCUAGUCAUGCCUAGUGAUCAGGAACUUAAACAAGGAUACUCGGCUCAAGGUCACACAAAAGCUGCCAAGAAUAUCUCAUUGUAAUUAGGGGAGCAGUAGAUCAGAAAUAAACCAGCCACUAAGCCUUUGGCCAUAGUUUCUCUAGGGAGGAAAAAAUAGUGGCUCAAUUUCCUUGUUUCUCCAUCGUUCGUCGCAUUCUUUCUGUUUUGAUAGUGAUAAUUCAUACUUUAUGAUCGCGAGAAGAUCAGACAGUGAUUGUCUUGAGUUUGAUUGUUCUUGUUUAAAGUGAAUAAAGUUGCUUUAAGUUUGAUAAUUAUUCUAGUUCUAGUAAUAACCAGCUUCCAAAUGAUUGCACUUCUGAAUU